RNAcentral lists this transfer RNA (73 nucleotides) under Mitsukurina owstoni (goblin shark). RNAcentral describes it as "tRNA-Lys". It matches the Rfam family "tRNA". From Rfam's summary of the family: Transfer RNA (tRNA) molecules are approximately 80 nucleotides in length. Their secondary structure includes four short double-helical elements and three loops (D, anti-codon, and T loops). The record is from RNAcentral. Lineage: Eukaryota; Metazoa; Chordata; Chondrichthyes; Lamniformes; Mitsukurinidae.
CACUAAGAAGCUAAACUGGAACAGCAUUAGUCUUUUGAACUAAAUAUUGGUGACUACCAUCCACCCUUAGUGA